UCCGAGUUGACCCCGGCAGUCUCCCAUGAGUCCCCGCCAUUACGCGCUGGCAACAUGGAACGAGGGUUGCGCUCGUUGCGGGACUUAACCCAACACCUCACGACACGAGCUGACGACAGCCAUGCACCACCUGUGAAGGUGUCCCGAAGGAAGACCGUGUUUCCACGGCUGUCACCUACAUGUCAAACCCAGGUAAGGUUCUUCGCGUUGCAUCGAAUUAAUCCGCAUGCUCCGCCGCUUGUGCGGGCCCCCGUCAAUUCCUUUGAGUUUUAGCCAUGCGGCCGUACUCCCCAGGCGGGGCACUUAAUGCGUUAGCUCCGGCACGGGAGGAGUCGACACCUCCCACACCUAGUGCCCAUCGUUUACGGCGUGGACUAC
This 378-nucleotide unclassified non-coding RNA is filed under the name uncultured Actinomycetes bacterium. Its description in RNAcentral is "uncultured actinobacterium contains 16S-23S intergenic spacer region". The record is from RNAcentral. Lineage: Bacteria; Bacillati; Actinomycetota; Actinomycetes.